UCAUAUGUACAUGCCUACAAUGUUAAUGCAUUAUAUCCCAUUAGAACUCUACAGUUAAGUGCGCUUGGGCUAGUGUAGUAUUGGGAUGUGUGACCUCCCAGGAAGUCCUAGUGUUUUACAUGCC
Picea glauca (white spruce) is the source of this 124-nucleotide non-coding RNA. NCBI's taxonomy places the organism in Eukaryota, Viridiplantae, Streptophyta, Pinopsida, Pinales, Pinaceae. The record is from Rfam.